UACGUAGGGGGCUAGCGUUGUCCGGAAUCAUUGGGCGUAAAGCGCGUGUAGGCGGUCCGGUAAGUCCGCUGUGAAAGUCGGGGGCUCAACCCUCGAAUGCCGGUGGAUACUGUCGGGCUAGAGUGCGGAAGAGGCGAGUGGAAUUCCCGGUGUAGCGGUGAAAUGCGCAGAUAUCGGGAGGAACACCAAUUGCGAAGGCAGCUCGCUGGGACGUCACUGACGCUGAGACGCGAAAGCGUGGGGAGCAAACAGG
RNAcentral lists this ribosomal RNA (253 nucleotides) under uncultured bacterium. RNAcentral describes it as "partial 16S ribosomal RNA". It matches the Rfam family "Bacterial small subunit ribosomal RNA", at positions 524 to 776 of the family's 1533-position model. The record is from RNAcentral.